UUUUAAUAAAGGAAAAAUAAAAAUUAAUGGAAAGAUGAAGCAGAAUUAACAAGGUGGACUCACAGAGAGUUAAACAACUGAGUUUUUGGUUCCUUAUCCCUGUACCUGACAGCUCUUCCUUCAUGCUUUCUCUUAUCUCCCUCCUUGAGGACAAGUCUAUUCUGCUGUCUUCUAACCGGUGUUUUCUUUGCAUGAUUUUUUGUGGGGUGUUUAUUAUUUUUUGCCUGUCCGGCAACUUUUGUUUUCAGGAACUGUCUCCACUCUUGCUCCAAACCUGGUAACACUGCCAUUCCCUCUGUGCCACAUGUGAGGGACCCAGGCCCAGGAUUCUAGUCUAGGUACCUCACCCCCUGGAAACAGUGUUUGGCUCAGGGAUCGGCUCACGACGCAAACAGAACCAAGGAGAGUGCUUUUGAGUGGAAAAAAAAGGAGUGCCCCAAUAGGGCUGGUAAGCCCAAGGGCCGUCUGAACCUGGGGGUCUUCACCUUGGAGAAAGCCUGUCUGUUAUGCCUGAAGUCAUCUCAGAAGUGGUACCACAGAGGAGUUGACUAGCUUUGCUUAUGCUCUCAAGUUGAUCCAUACAGUGCCAGAUUAUACCCUAUCAUAAGAGAUAGGGUCCCCUGAACACAAGAAGUCAUCUCCCCUUCUGGGUAGGACUUUGCACCACAUUCUCUUCCCUCUGCCUGGAACAUACCUCCCAACUGCUUUACUCUCUUAAAUCUCACUCAUUACCAUCUAAAACCAUUUUCCUUUCUUAUUGCCUGUUUGCUGUCAUCUCCCACAGGACUGUGAACUCAAGAAAGCAGGAAGUAUGCCUCCCUUAUUCAUCACUGGGUCCCCAGUGCUUAGAACAGUGCCUGGCACAGAGACGGGGCUCUGUAAAGAUCUGCUGAAUGAACACUUUAUCCUCUUACUUCUUAUCCUUCAAGCCUCAGAUGUUCCCCCAGGAUGCCUUCUUCGUUUCCCCAGACUAGUUCAAGCUGCACCUCCGACGUGCUCCCACAGCCCCUGAGCUGCCUCCCUGCAGACGCCAUACCUGCCGUGGCUGCUUGUUUGCUGAGUAGCCUCUCCCACUGAACCCUGGGCAACUUGAGAUAAAUGAAGAUUCUGAGGCCAAAGGAGAAUUGCAGGGAAGAUAAAUCCUGAAAACUUUUCAAACAUUUCAGAAUGCACACUCCCUUUGAAGAGUAAAAAA
RNAcentral lists this long non-coding RNA (1195 nucleotides) under Homo sapiens (human). RNAcentral describes it as "HSALNT0383013". The record is from RNAcentral. Lineage: Eukaryota; Metazoa; Chordata; Mammalia; Primates; Hominidae.